UACGUAGGGUGCAAGCGUUAAUCGGAAUUACUGGGCGUAAAGCGUGCGCAGGCGGUUUUGUAAGUCUGACGUGAAAUCCCCGGGCUUAACCUGGGAAUUGCGUUGGAGACUGCAAGGCUAGAAUCUGGCAGAGGGGGGUAGAAUUCCACGUGUAGUAGUGAAAUGCGUAGAGAUGUGGAGGAACACCGAUGGCGAAGGCAGCCCCCUGGGUCAAGAUUGACGCUCAUGCACGAAAGCGUGGGGAGCAAACAGG
This 253-nucleotide ribosomal RNA is filed under the name uncultured bacterium. RNAcentral describes it as "partial 16S ribosomal RNA". It matches the Rfam family "Bacterial small subunit ribosomal RNA", at positions 524 to 776 of the family's 1533-position model. The record is from RNAcentral.